Molecule: ribosomal RNA, 479 nt
Filed under: uncultured bacterium
Lineage: Bacteria
Description: partial 16S ribosomal RNA
Rfam family: Bacterial small subunit ribosomal RNA
Source: RNAcentral
GAUGAACGCUGGCGGCGUACUUAACACAUGCAAGUCGAACGAAGCACCUUGAUUUGAUUCUUCGGAUGAAGAUCUUGGUGACUGAGUGGCGGACGGGUGAGUAACGCGUGGGUAACCUGCCUCAUACAGGGGGAUAACAGUUAGAAAUGACUGCUAAUACCACAUAAGACCACAGCACCGCAUGGUGCAGGGGUAAAAACUCCGGUGGUAUGAGAUGGACCCGCGUCUGAUUAGGUAGUUGGUGGGGUAACGGCCUACCAAGCCGACGAUCAGUAGCCGACCUGAGAGGGUGACCGGCCACAUUGGGACUGAGACACGGCCCAAACUCCUACGGGAGGCAGCAGUGGGGAAUAUUGCACAAUGGGGGAAACCCUGAUGCAGCGACGCCGCGUGAGCGAUGAAGUAUUUCGGUAUGUAAAGCUCUAUCAGCAGGGAAGAAAAUGACGGUACCUGACUAAGAAGCACCGGCUAAAUACGUG